GAUGAAGAACGCAGCAAAAUGCGAUAAGUAAUGUGAAUUGCAGAAUUCAGUGAAUCAUCGAAUCUUUGAACGCACAUUGCGCCCGCCAGUAUUCUGGCGGGCAUGCCUGUUCGAGCGUCAUUUCAACCAUCAAGCCCUCGGGUUUGGUGUUGGGGAUCGGCGAGCCUUUCUGGCAAGCCGGCCCCGAAAUCUAGUGGCGGUCUCGCUGCAGCCUCCAUUGCGUAGUAGUAAAACCCUCGCAACUGGAACGCGGCGCGGCCAAGCCGUUAAACCCCCAACUUCUGAAUGUUGACCUCGGAUCAGGUAGGAAUACCCGCUGAACUUAAGCAUAUCAAUAAGCGGAGGA
Molecule: unclassified non-coding RNA, 346 nt
Filed under: soil metagenome
Description: partial contains 5.8S ribosomal RNA, internal transcribed spacer 2, and large subunit ribosomal RNA
Rfam family: 5.8S ribosomal RNA (bases 1-120)
Source: RNAcentral